This 419-nucleotide ribosomal RNA is filed under the name Tetragonopterus chalceus. Its description in RNAcentral is "partial 12S ribosomal RNA". It matches the Rfam family "Bacterial small subunit ribosomal RNA", at positions 774 to 1395 of the family's 1533-position model. The record is from RNAcentral. Lineage: Eukaryota; Metazoa; Chordata; Actinopteri; Characiformes; Characidae.
GGGAUUAGAUACCCCACUAUGCUUAGCCCUAAAUUUAGAUGUGACCCUUACAAACACAUCCGCCAGGGUACUACAAGCGCUAGCUUAAAACCCAAAGGACUUGACGGUGUCUCAGACCCACCUAGAGGAGCCUGUUCUAGAACCGAUAAUCCCCGUUUAACCUCACCACCCCUUGCUUUCCCCGCCUAUAUACCGCCGUCGCAAGCUUACCCUGUGAAGGUAUUACAGUAAGCAAAAUGGAUAUAUUCAAAAACGUCAGGUCGAGGUGUAGCUUACGAGGUGGAAAGAAAUGGGCUACAUUUUCUUUAUCAGAAUAACACGAACGACACCAUGAAACUGAUGUCUGAAGGUGGAUUUAGCAGUAAAAAACAAAUAGAGAGUCUUUUUGAAUUAGGCUCUGAGACGCGCACACACCGCCC